AGACCACCUUCCCAAAGCAGCAUGUUGCCCCAUUCUGACCCUGAGAGCACCUGGCAGGUAUGUGGAAAAAAGAAAUGUGCAUUAAAACAGUCUAUUUCCUAUCAUUAAAUACUUACAAGAAGAAAAAGAUAAAAAGAAAGAGCCAAUGGAUGUAGGAAGCUUUGGGACCUCUCCUCUCCAGCUAUUUGAGAGAUACUGCUUCCCGCAAACAGUUUGCCUCUGUGAUUCUUAUUUACCUCUACCUUUUCCAUGAGAUUGAGAACACUAUAAGAAAGCCUACAAAUGCUAUGGUUGCACAUACAGAAAAAUCCAAGACCUCAGAGACUUCUUCCCAUCACUCUUUGAUGUAACUGAUUUCUCCCCAUCAGUAUCCUGAUCAUCUGGUUCCUUCAUUUCCUCUGAUCUGGACACUUUCCAGAAGAGAGGAACUACCAAUUCACCUAUCGGGGACAUUCAUUGUAUUCCUUUAAGACAGUCGAAGUUUGGGUUCUAGACCAUGUUCUACAUUCUAUUAGUAAACUAGCUAGGUUUGGAAGUCUAUUUGCAGGACUAGCAUAAAUUUCGUUUCAUUAGAUCCAGGCUUAUUCGUCCAGACUACAGCCAAUUCUUUCAACUAACUCAUUAGAUAGACUGUGCAGUUUUGAGUUGUGAAAGUUGUCAGAAUUAGAAUGGAGUCACCAGUGUUAAGAAAGAACCCUGACAAAUAGAGCUGGGGAAGGCUAUGAAGAAUGGGUUCUCAUGCUUGUAUGCUGGAUAACUAUCCCAAAAGACUGCAAAGACCACAGCCUUGCACAAAAGCCAUCACAACUUUACACAUAAAAAAAAAUAUUUCUACAAGGACAUCUGCCCAACAAUUGCCUGUCCAACCUCAGACUAGCAUCACACUUAUUGUUGAUCUUUGUAGCCAAGGAUAAUUAUCUCAAAAUAAUUAUGUAGUCUUUUUCAUUUUUCCUUUAAAACCCUUGUUUUCCUUUACCUCCCUAAAUACACAUAUAGUUUACCAUGGCACGCAUAUUCCAUUGCAAUGCCUUACUCCCGAAUAAACAUCAUCUUCUUUUAG
Pan troglodytes (chimpanzee) is the source of this 1060-nucleotide long non-coding RNA. RefSeq lists it as uncharacterized. The transcript is spliced from 5 exons. NCBI's taxonomy places the organism in Eukaryota, Metazoa, Chordata, Mammalia, Primates, Hominidae. The record is from RefSeq and is a predicted model, not a curated record.